RNAcentral lists this ribosomal RNA (253 nucleotides) under uncultured bacterium. RNAcentral describes it as "partial 16S ribosomal RNA". It matches the Rfam family "Bacterial small subunit ribosomal RNA", at positions 524 to 776 of the family's 1533-position model. The record is from RNAcentral.
UACGUAGGGUCCGAGCGUUGUCCGGAAUUAUUGGGCGUAAAGAGCUCGUAGGCGGUCUGUCGCGUCGGUUGUGAAAACCUGGGGCUCAACUCCAGGCCUGCAAUCGAUACGGGCAGACUAGAGUUCGGUAGGGGAGACUGGAAUUCCUGGUGUAGCGGUGAAAUGCGCAGAUAUCAGGAGGAACACCGGUGGCGAAGGCGGGUCUCUGGGCCGAAACUGACGCUGAGGAGCGAAAGCGUGGGGAGCGAACAGG